ACAAAGAUGGAGUCGGAUUAUUUGGUUUGGCAACUUUUUAUUUUGGAUACUUGCUGGCUUGUAUAUUUGCUGGUAGUACUGUCAGACUAUAUGAUGCAAAGGUCAGCAUCAGUUGUUCCGCUUUGUGUCAAAUACCGUUUCUUAUAUCAAAUGCUUUACCAAAAUUGUAUGUCUUGAUACCGUUAUCCUUUUUAGGAGGAUUCACGCAAUCAAUUCUGUGGACUGC
Molecule: long non-coding RNA, 226 nt
Filed under: Mytilus galloprovincialis (Mediterranean mussel)
Lineage: Eukaryota; Metazoa; Mollusca; Bivalvia; Mytilida; Mytilidae
Source: RNAcentral